Molecule: transfer-messenger RNA, 397 nt
Filed under: bovine gut metagenome
Also listed under: 1 other name
Rfam family: transfer-messenger RNA
About the family: Bacterial tmRNA, also known as 10Sa RNA or SsrA, is named for its dual tRNA and mRNA-like properties. Its role is to liberate the mRNA from a stalled ribosome.
Source: RNAcentral
GGGGAUGACUGGUUUUGACAGCGUGUAGAGGUGGUCUGUAAGCAUGCAGAGAAAUGAUGCCUACUCUCUUUAAUCAGGGACAUCGACUUUAAUAAAUGGCGAAAACAACUACGCUCUUGCUGCCUAACCGAAGCUUAGUAAGUUAGCUUAAUCCUCGCCCAGGGCGGGGACAAGACGUCGCCCGAUUGUCGUUUUUCCGAGACUAAUCGACAAGGCGGCGCACGGAAAUCGGAAAUAGGAUGCGGAAAGCCCCGAAAAGCGUCCGAAAUCAUAGGGGAUAAGGACGGGAUUGGCUGUCGCGGGCCUGUCAAGUCACGAAAACCAAUUCGCGACUAAGCAUGUAGAAAGCAUAUCAGUUCCACGUUUGGACGAGGGUUCGACUCCCUCCAUCUCCACA